ACACAAUAUACCCAAGAUGGUCAGGGCUUGGUUUUACACAUUUUAGGAAGGCAUGAGACAUCAAUCAAUAUAUAAGAAGUACAUUAGUUCUGUGUCCAGAAAGGAUGAGACAACUCAAAGCAAGCCCCACUCCCACCACUACUAGAGGCUUACAAGUCACAGAUGCUUUUACACAAUGCUGAUCAAUCACAGUAUGUGAGUGUCCAAAUAUGUGUACCCUGUCUUGGCCAAUGUACUCUCCUACCUUCUUCCUUCCAUGUUGGAGUGUAUUGGCUGAAAAAGAUAUGAAGCUACGUGUCUCUUUGGGAUGGAGCGGAGAUCCUGUCUAUCCUAAUGUGUCCUACAGAAAUACUCCUUGUUGUCUGCAAUCAAGUGGUUUUUCUCACACAGCACAUUUUUAAAUUAAGACCAUUGCUGGCACAUUUUGCAUUACUGGCAUUGUUUGGAAGCAUAAUGCAACAGAUGGAGGAAAAGCCAUUUGAUAUCAAUUCAGUAGCAAUGUGCCCAGCACACGGUAUGAAGCACAGAUGUUUAUAUGGAAUGGCCAUGAAGUUGGAAAAUGAAAACUUGGAAGAAAGCUAUUGA
Molecule: long non-coding RNA, 585 nt
Filed under: Callithrix jacchus (white-tufted-ear marmoset)
Lineage: Eukaryota; Metazoa; Chordata; Mammalia; Primates; Cebidae
Description: lncRNA (ENSCJAG00000053726.2)
Source: RNAcentral